RNAcentral lists this ribosomal RNA (462 nucleotides) under uncultured bacterium. RNAcentral's name for it is "bacterial SSU rRNA". It matches the Rfam family "Bacterial small subunit ribosomal RNA", at positions 28 to 502 of the family's 1533-position model. The record is from RNAcentral.
GAUGAACGCUGGCGGCGUGCUUAACACAUGCAAGUCGAACGAUUGAAGCUGGAGCUUGCUCCGGCCGAUUUAGUGGCGGACGGGUGAGUAACGCGUGGGUAACCUGCCUCAUACAGGGGGAUAGCAGUUGGAAACGACUGGUAAAACCGCAUAAGCGCACGGUGUCGCAUGACACAGUGUGAAAACACUCCGGUGGUAUGAGAUGGACCCGCGUCUGAUUAGCUAGUUGGUGAGGUAACGGCCCACCAAGGCGACGAUCAGUAGCCGGCCUGAGAGGGUGAACGGCCACAUUGGGACUGAGACACGGCCCAAACUCCUACGGGAGGCAGCAGCGGGGAAUAUUGCACAAUGGGGGAAACCCUGAUGCAGCGACGCCGCGUGAGUGAUGAAGUAUUUCGGUAUGUAAAGCUCUAUCAGCAGGGAAGAUAAUGACGGUACCUGACUAAGAAGCACCGGCUAAAU